This 700-nucleotide ribosomal RNA is filed under the name uncultured bacterium. RNAcentral describes it as "bacterial SSU rRNA". It matches the Rfam family "Bacterial small subunit ribosomal RNA", at positions 8 to 703 of the family's 1533-position model. The record is from RNAcentral.
AGAGUUUGAUCAUGGCUCAGAUUGAACGCUGGCGGCAUGCCUUACACAUGCAAGUCGAACGGCAGCACGGGGGCAACCCUGGUGGCGAGUGGCGAACGGGUGAGUAAUACAUCGGAACGUGCCCAGUAGUGGGGGAUAGCCCGGCGAAAGCCGGAUUAAUACCGCAUACGACCUAUGGGUGAAAGCGGGGGACCGCAAGGCCUCGCGCUAUUGGAGCGGCCGAUGUCAGAUUAGGUUGUUGGUGGGGUAAAAGCCCACCAAGCCGACGAUCUGUAGCUGGUCUGAGAGGACGACCAGCCACACUGGGACUGAGACACGGCCCAGACUCCUACGGGAGGCAGCAGUGGGGAAUUUUGGACAGUGGGGGCAACCCUGAUCCAGCCAUGCCGCGUGCGGGAAGAAGGCCUUCGGGUUGUAAACCGCUUUUGUCAGGGAAGAAAUCCCUUGGGCUAAUACCCCGAGGGGAUGACGGUACCUGAAGAAUAAGCACCGGCUAACUACGUGCCAGCAGCCGCGGUAAUACGUAGGGUGCAAGCGUUAAUCGGAAUUACUGGGCGUAAAGCGUGCGCAGGCGGUUGUGCAAGACAGAUGUGAAAUCCCCGGGCUCAACCUGGGAACUGCAUUUGUGACUGCACAGCUUGAGUGCGGCAGAGGGGGAUGGAAUUCCGCGUGUAGCAGUGAAAUGCGUAGAUAUGCGGAG